AAGUUGGCAAUGCAUCCCAGUCUGGUCACGAUUAAAGUUUGGUCCAAGGCGUUCCAUUAGAGCAACAAAACACCAAAAUGACUCUGACUCAUCGCCCAUUACAAACAAUAUAGGUGAAAGGAAAUCACUCAUACCCUGUAAGUUAUCACAGUAAAAUCAUCAAGAGUUAGUAAAGGAACAAAACACCAAAAUGAAUCUGACUCAUUGCCCAUUACAGAGAACACAGGUGAAAGGAAAUCACCCAUACCCUGUAAGUUAUCACAGCAAAAUGAUCAAGAGUUAAAUGUAGUUAAACCAAUGGGAUUUGACUCACAUAAUUCGCCAAAGCAAUUUUAGUGCAUCAAAAAAGGUGUACAAAAGGGGGAAAAAACUAAAGUGCAGCUUUCAUUUACUGACAUAUCAAAAAUUGAAUUAAAAAAACUAUGAACAUGGCGAUAAAUAGAAAAAAAUACAACUUUCAUGCAUUACAAUUUGAUGAUCAUUGUUAAAUGCACAACAAAAGUAAGCCUUCGUUAGCAAUUAACCAGGACAAACUAUUCGAAAGAUACCAUGGCUGUAUGGGACCAUUUAGAAAGUCUGAUGGAACCUUUUUCUUCUUCUUUUUCAUUAUUAGGAAACACUUUAACCGAUGAAUGAAAUAUCCAAAUAGUACAAAAGGGAGAACCUGAUAAGGAGAAUAACCAAAAACCAACAAUAAAAACAACAUUGGUCAAUUUGAUGAAAUUUUAACAACUUUUUUCAGAAUUCUCCAAACUUGGCCCUCAUGGAAUAGUCUUAUUCCCCUAUGCUCGUAUAUUUAUAGACAUUGUAAAUAUAUAUAUGUUUAUAUCAAAUAACAACUUCGGUUGAGAAAAAAUGAAAGAAUACACAGACAUACAAAAACCCUACAAAAAGAGGAGACUCCCUUUACAAGAAGGAACUCCAACCAUAUGAAAUAACACCUAUAGAAUAAUUAAAUAGAGGAUAGAAUUCAGAAAGCACCCAAGACUUCAAACAUCCUAGUUAUAUCCUUGCUGACAUAUAGAAUUCAUAUCUAGAUCAAACGACUUCAUAUGUAGAUAUAAUAUAGUUAGGCGGCAGCAUAAAUUACAAAAACUUCAGGUAUCCCUUAACUGACAUUUAAUUUCAAAUAAAGUGCUCUUUCUGAGACACUAGUAUUUGGUUGAUGAAAAAGGUAAGAUCAAGCAUAAGUAAUAUCCUUGAUGCCUGAACUAUAACUAUUAGGCAUAGGAAAAAUGAAAUACC
RNAcentral lists this long non-coding RNA (1245 nucleotides) under Cucumis sativus (cucumber). RNAcentral's name for it is "long non-coding RNA (CSAT_LNC000487)". Lineage: Eukaryota; Viridiplantae; Streptophyta; Magnoliopsida; Cucurbitales; Cucurbitaceae. The record is from RNAcentral.